Molecule: long non-coding RNA, 278 nt
Organism: Ictalurus punctatus (channel catfish)
Lineage: Eukaryota; Metazoa; Chordata; Actinopteri; Siluriformes; Ictaluridae
Exons: 2
Source: RefSeq, a predicted model, not a curated record
CGAAGACGUCAUCGGCGAACUGGAAGACACGACGGAGAUGAAGGAAUGGUUUAAUGAAGUGUUUGUGGCAAACAUGUCGGCGUACAUGUGCAGGUUUAGGAAGAGCUGCCCCCGUUUAACCACAUGCACCAGGAUCUGAAAGCUGAAAACGUGCGGUGUGGUUUUUCACCUUCUGCAGCGCUGCUACCAGAAUCUCUCGGGCGUCCUGGAACUGGGCGGAGUCAGUGCCGUGGCGCCGGGCGAGCUCCUCCAUACCAGCCAGCUCCACAGAGAACAGG